CAUCAUGAACUUUCCAGUGUGCUUCUUAGAACAGAGCACGCAGUUUCUUUGUGGUCCUGGCACGGAUAUUCUUGAGCCAACGCUGGCUUUUGUCCAUGACCAACGUUCUGCUCCAUCCUUAUCUUCCCGACGUAAGCUCAUCCAGCUUCUGCUUCAUCCUUCGUACACAAAAAGACAACUUGUCUUACUUCACUAAACACUUCAGUGGUCGCUUCCGUGCCGCUGUUACACCUGCAGUCACUCACCACGGGAUUAUGGCCAGGUAAUGCAGAGGAGAGGAGACGUCGAGAAGAUGGACAGCAAAAC
Long non-coding RNA from Daphnia pulex (common water flea), 306 nucleotides. RefSeq lists it as uncharacterized. The record is from RefSeq and is a predicted model, not a curated record. The transcript is spliced from 3 exons. NCBI's taxonomy places the organism in Eukaryota, Metazoa, Arthropoda, Branchiopoda, Diplostraca, Daphniidae.